Molecule: long non-coding RNA, 630 nt
Filed under: Nicotiana benthamiana
Lineage: Eukaryota; Viridiplantae; Streptophyta; Magnoliopsida; Solanales; Solanaceae
Description: long non-coding RNA (NBEN_LNC021731)
Source: RNAcentral
CAGUAUAUAUUAUAAAACCUACCGUUCAGGUUAAUGAUCUUUAAAUGCUAAAAUAUCACAGAGCCAAAAAAUCCAACUUCUACACAUAUACAAUAUAUGUUCCAGACAGAACAACCUUGAUGACAAAAUCACAAAAAUCAACAGGUAAUUCGUUUUUCCCUUAAAGCAAGAACCUUCUCACAAUGCAAUCUAAAAUCCUGAGAUAUUCAAAUCCCACCAAAACUUAGCUAUAACAGAACAUGAAACCCCUUGCUGAGACCCUGUAUUGUUGAUUUCACAAAUACGGAGCAAGCUUAUCUCAGAUCAAUUUCCUCUGUAAAAUGCAACCUGGAAAAUGGAAAGAAAAGGAAAAUGAGCAAACCCCAUAAUAUCUUUGAUAAAAAAAGGGGUUUUUUGUUAUCAGAAAUCUCAGAUUCAAGAAGAGACAAAAACACAAACGCGGAAUUCAAAGAUUCAAAGAAAUUUGAAACCUUAACAACCCUUUUGAAGAAUUUAACACACACAAAAAAGGACAAAAUGCAGAGCACCAAGAUGAAAGAGAUAGGUAAUAAAGAAUAACGAAAAAUGAAUUGAUACAAUUUUAUUUAUUUUUCGAAACAAAAAAAGAGGAGAAGAAAAAGAAAUUCUUAC